GGAAACUAUCAAGAAGUGGCCAAAAUGAGAGAACAUUUAAAUACAGCAGUAUUUUUUUUUUUUUUUUUGGUACAGUAAAAUAGUAGAAAAGCCAGCAGCAGAUACAUGGUGACUGUACAGGAGUUAACUCAUGUUCUUUCCUCAAAACAUAUUGUGGCAGGAAGGUGAAUGUAAGCUUCUGCAUAGAUUAAACACUGUCCAACAUAGUUUAAAGUUUUGGUUCCUACAAGUACAGCUGAAAUUCUAUCAUUACUAGGUCCAUAGGCAUGUGAGCUACUAGCUACACGCACUCUCUCUAAAGUUUCAUCAAGGGGAGGUAAAUGUUCAGGGAGGUAACUGACUGUGUCAAUGCUGUCCAGUUUUCCUCUCCACCCUGAACCUGAAUGCAUUUAAAAUUAAGUGCAGUUUUAAGUAGUAAGCAAUAGCAUUUUCACUUGUUCUGAGCAGGGUGUGUGCUCUCCACGCUUGCCUGCCUCAUCUGCUUCCAACUGGCAAUUGCACAAAACCACAAAUCAGGAAUCUUGGCUGUCUAAUCAAGAAGCCUAUGUCUGGCAGUGUGGGCUCAGCUUACCUGAGUGUAGUUUAUUGACCAACUUUAACAGCAAGUGUAAACUGGGUCACUAUAGUUAUUUCUCCCUGUAAGAAAAUAGUACAGAAUUUUACCGGGUUCUUUGUCAAUUGAGGAUUUUCUUUACAGCAGUCUUUAUUAACGUUCAUAUCAGAGAUAUCUAUUUGCUGAAGAUCCUAGAGACUUCUUCCAACUCAAGCAUGUUAUUUGUUUGCAGAUUCUCUCUCUUCUGGCUGUUAUUUUUGAAGAAAUUGUGGAGGAUUGUAUCAAGUGUGGUGGACUUUACUUCUUUGAAUUCAUAAGCUGCAGUGCCUUUCUUUUGAGCCUCCUGAUCCUCUGUGUGUAUUGCACUGAUGUGUAUGAAACAUUUGGGGAAGAUAAAGUACAGAGAAUGAAUUUUUGGGCCAUGCCAGUCAUAGGUGUCUGUUUUCUGUUAGCAUCAAUAGUGCUUGUUGCAACCAGCUCUGGGUCUACUAUUGAACGAGCGGCAUGGGCAUUUGGAUUUCUUGCAAGUGGUGCAUUUUUUGCUGAAAUUAUUACAGACCUUUUUCACAGUUGGAAACAAAACGUUGACAGAUGCUCUGAAAAUCCCGGCAACACUCAGAGUGCCACAGAAAAUCAGCCACUGAAUAAGCAAAGCUAACUUUCUGGAAUAAUUUCUCUUUUUUUUGAAUGGAGCAAACUAAAAUGAACUUUCAGUGCACUGUAGGUAACAACUUCUGUCUCUUCCUUCUAAUCCAUUUUGUAUGCAUUGCUCACCAUAAAUUUUUAUCGAUCCUUAGGUCAAGUAAUGGCAUCUUGAGCAUCAUGUUCUAAGGUAACUGGUCCUGCUUAGUAACUGGUCCUGCCACCUGUCCAGGUGCCAUACACUAAAAAAAAGUGUGUCUAAAUAGAAUAACUUAAAGGACAACAGCAUGCUUUGAUUUUGACAAAGGUGACUAAUAAAGGUUAACGUGUGAUGCA
RNAcentral lists this long non-coding RNA (1531 nucleotides) under Athene cunicularia (burrowing owl). RNAcentral's name for it is "lncRNA (ENSACUG00000007488.1)". The record is from RNAcentral. Lineage: Eukaryota; Metazoa; Chordata; Aves; Strigiformes; Strigidae.